Molecule: transfer RNA, 69 nt
Filed under: Ictidomys tridecemlineatus (thirteen-lined ground squirrel)
Lineage: Eukaryota; Metazoa; Chordata; Mammalia; Rodentia; Sciuridae
Description: Spermophilus tridecemlineatus (thirteen-lined ground squirrel) tRNA
Rfam family: tRNA
About the family: Transfer RNA (tRNA) molecules are approximately 80 nucleotides in length.
Source: Rfam by way of RNAcentral
GGGGUUGUGGCUCAGUGGUAGAGCGCUUGCUUAGCACUUGCGAGACCCUGGGUUCGAAUCUCAGCACCA